RNAcentral lists this ribosomal RNA (253 nucleotides) under uncultured bacterium. RNAcentral describes it as "partial 16S ribosomal RNA". It matches the Rfam family "Bacterial small subunit ribosomal RNA", at positions 524 to 776 of the family's 1533-position model. The record is from RNAcentral.
UACGGGGGGGGCAAGCGUUGUUCGGAAUUACUGGGCGUAAAGGGCUCGUAGGCGGCCAACUAAGUCAGACGUGAAAUCCCUCGGCUUAACCGGGGAACUGCGUCUGAUACUGGAUGGCUAGAGAUUGGGAGAGGGAUGCGGAAUUCCAGGUGUAGCGGUGAAAUGCGUAGAUAUGUGGAGGAACACCGAUGGCGAAGGCAGCCUUCUGGGCCAACACUGACGCUCAUGCACGAAAGCGUGGGGAGCAAACAGG